Molecule: ribosomal RNA, 1483 nt
Filed under: Lactiplantibacillus plantarum
Lineage: Bacteria; Bacillati; Bacillota; Bacilli; Lactobacillales; Lactobacillaceae
Description: bacterial SSU rRNA
Rfam family: Bacterial small subunit ribosomal RNA
Source: RNAcentral
ACGCUGGCGGCGUGCCUAAUACAUGCAAGUCGAACGAACUCUGGUAUUGAUUGGUGCUUGCAUCAUGAUUUACAUUUGAGUGAGUGGCGAACUGGUGAGUAACACGUGGGAAACCUGCCCAGAAGCGGGGGAUAACACCUGGAAACAGAUGCUAAUACCGCAUAACAACUUGGACCGCAUGGUCCGAGUUUGAAAGAUGGCUUCGGCUAUCACUUUUGGAUGGUCCCGCGGCGUAUUAGCUAGAUGGUGGGGUAACGGCUCACCAUGGCAAUGAUACGUAGCCGACCUGAGAGGGUAAUCGGCCACAUUGGGACUGAGACACGGCCCAAACUCCUACGGGAGGCAGCAGUAGGGAAUCUUCCACAAUGGACGAAAGUCUGAUGGAGCAACGCCGCGUGAGUGAAGAAGGGUUUCGGCUCGUAAAACUCUGUUGUUGAAGAAGAACAUAUCUGAGAGUAACUGUUCAGGUAUUGACGGUAUUUAACCAGAAAGCCACGGCUAACUACGUGCCAGCAGCCGCGGUAAUACGUAGGUGGCAAGCGUUGUCCGGAUUUAUUGGGCGUAAAGCGAGCGCAGGCGGUUUUUUAAGUCUGAUGUGAAAGCCUUCGGCUCAACCGAAGAAGUGCAUCGGAAACUGGGAAACUUGAGUGCAGAAGAGGACAGUGGAACUCCAUGUGUAGCGGUGAAAUGCGUAGAUAUAUGGAAGAACACCAGUGGCGAAGGCGGCUGUCUGGUCUGUAACUGACGCUGAGGCUCGAAAGUAUGGGUAGCAAACAGGAUUAGAUACCCUGGUAGUCCAUACCGUAAACGAUGAAUGCUAAGUGUUGGAGGGUUUCCGCCCUUCAGUGCUGCAGCUAACGCAUUAAGCAUUCCGCCUGGGGAGUACGGCCGCAAGGCUGAAACUCAAAGGAAUUGACGGGGGCCCGCACAAGCGGUGGAGCAUGUGGUUUAAUUCGAAGCUACGCGAAGAACCUUACCAGGUCUUGACAUACUAUGCAAAUCUAAGAGAUUAGACGUUCCCUUCGGGGACAUGGAUACAGGUGGUGCAUGGUUGUCGUCAGCUCGUGUCGUGAGAUGUUGGGUUAAGUCCCGCAACGAGCGCAACCCUUAUUAUCAGUUGCCAGCAUUAAGUUGGGCACUCUGGUGAGACUGCCGGUGACAAACCGGAGGAAGGUGGGGAUGACGUCAAAUCAUCAUGCCCCUUAUGACCUGGGCUACACACGUGCUACAAUGGAUGGUACAACGAGUUGCGAACUCGCGAGAGUAAGCUAAUCUCUUAAAGCCAUUCUCAGUUCGGAUUGUAGGCUGCAACUCGCCUACAUGAAGUCGGAAUCGCUAGUAAUCGCGGAUCAGCAUGCCGCGGUGAAUACGUUCCCGGGCCUUGUACACACCGCCCGUCACACCAUGAGAGUUUGUAACACCCAAAGUCGGUGGGGUAACCUUUUAGGAACCAGCCGCCUAAGGUGGGACAGAUGAUUAGGGG